Molecule: long non-coding RNA, 1301 nt
Filed under: Cervus hanglu yarkandensis (Yarkand deer)
Lineage: Eukaryota; Metazoa; Chordata; Mammalia; Artiodactyla; Cervidae
Description: lncRNA (ENSCHYG00000027044.1)
Source: RNAcentral
CAAAGAAAUAAAGGUGAUCUUAUAUGCUGUUUGGGGGGAAUCCUCCUUUCUGUACCAGUCGAGAUUUUUUUCAGUUAAAACAGAGAAUGAGAAAGAAGGAAGAAAAACAGAAAUGAAGGAAUGAAGAAGGGAGGGAAUGAGGAAAGAAGGGAGAGUUAUUAACUUAAGUAGCAGGGGUAUUUUGGCUUCAGGUACAGCUUGAUGCAGGGGUUCAAAGCUAUCACUGGGACAAGAUUGAUUUAGUUUCAUCUUUCAACUCUGCCUGCUCCUUGAGAGUAGACUCUAUUUAUAGUCAAGCUCUCCGCUAGUAGAGGGAGCAGCAGAGAAAGCUCAUUGUCCAACCCACAGCUGUUUCCCCUUUGCUUCCUUUAUCAUAAAACCUCUCACCUGUGGCUGGGAACAGCCUCCUGAGGUAAAGACCACCUUUCCAUGCCUCUGUUGCAGUUAAGCAUGGUAGUGUGGCCAAUGGCAUACAAGCGGAAGAAGCCUCAUGAGCAAUUUUUCAGAAAGUUGUCCUUGAAGGAUCCCUCUUCACCAUCUUCCUUUUCCCUACAGCCUGGAAACUCAAGCAUCUGUCUGGAACCAUCUGUGUUAUCAUGAACGACAGAGCAAGAGAGAAACCAUGCUCUGCUGGCCAUGGAGUCACCACACAGCCUCCCUGCUUACUGCAGACUUCAUUCAUGUCACUACAGAAUACUGAGAGGAGUUCCCUGUGCUAUACAGCCGGUAUAUGUAUAUAUAAGAGAAUACUGCUGCUUCUGCUAAGGCGCUUCAGUCAUGUGUGACCCCACAGACGGCAGCCCACCAGGCUCCUCUGUCCCUGGGAUUCUCCAGGUAAGAAGUCUGGAGUGUGUUGCCAUUUCCUUCUCCAUAAGAGAAUACUACUCAGCCAUUAAAAAAAGAACAAAAUAAUAUCAUUUGCAGCAACAUGGAUGUACCUAGAGAUUGUCAUACUUAGUGAAGUAAGUCAGAGGAAAACAAAUAUCAUAUGAUAUCACUUAUAUGUGGAAUCUUUAAAAAUGGUACAAAUGAGCUUAUUUCUCAGUUUUAAUCAUUGCACUAUAAUUAUGUAAGAAGCUAGCAAUAGGGGAAGCUGAGUAAAGAGCAUAUAGGAACUCUGUUUGGUACACUUCUGGAAUCUCCAGAUAAAAAAUUUUAAAAUAAAUACAAAUACACAGGGAAUUAUACUCAAUAUUUUGUAAUAACCUAUAAGGGAAAAGGAUCUGAAAAUGAAUAGAUGUGUGUGUGUGUAUAACUGAACCACUAGGCUGUCUGUCUGAAACUAACAUGACAUUGUCAGU